Molecule: long non-coding RNA, 2048 nt
Organism: Cydia fagiglandana
Lineage: Eukaryota; Metazoa; Arthropoda; Insecta; Lepidoptera; Tortricidae
Exons: 3
Source: RefSeq, a predicted model, not a curated record
UCGGGCCGCGCAAUAUUGGUCCGGGGCGAUAAUACGAAGCCACUCUUUUCACAGGGCAAUAAUGUACGACCCCAUAAUUCGCGUCCAAUAAUUUGAGUCCCUUGGCUUUCAAUUAUUGGGCUGCGCAUUAUUGGUACAGGUCGAGAAAGCCCGACCCAAUAAUGUACGACCCAAUAAUAGGAAGCCAAAAACCAGAGAGAUUCUUUUUUUUAAGGGAGCUGUCAAAAUUAGUAGGGACGUUCUGACAUUAGCUCUUGACAAUUUAAAAAUAAUCGGUUUUUUCUAGUGCCAUCUUUCAGUGACAUUGACAGUAUUGUAUUGACACUUGUUGGUUUACAAAUACAAUAAAAUGAAUUCUAAUAAAAGAAACAGUAGACUCAGUAGAGGUACGAGGUACUGAAAAAAUAUUAAUUAAUGGAGAAGCCGAAGUUGGAGGAAAACAAGAAGAUUCGAGGAGAAUGGUGUGGCACUUAAUGCCGCCGGGACAGUAACCUAGCUGCAGCUCCAACUCUAGGGAAUUGGGCUGAAUGAACGCAACACGUGAUCGACAGCCCACCUGCUUCCUGCCGAGCGUCCCUACACUACAUCUACAUGGAUUCGCUUAUUCUGCUCUACAAAACUUCUAAAACAAUACAAAUAAUACAGGAAGAAGAGAUUAAACAACAGGCGGUCUUAUCGCUAAAAAGCGAUCUCUUCCAGACAACCUUACUACUUUUGAGGUUAGAACAACCCACGAAAACAUUUAAUGUAAAGUGUUGCCAAGACUAGUUGCAUAAAGCUUUUACACUAAAAAAGUUAUCAGAUCCCGUAGUAGGUACCAAGACUUUUACUCUGUCAUUCCUAACUUUAUAAGCUCUAACAGUAUAAAGCCAACAUCUUGGUCAAACAGUACGGCUUGGCCGUUUCGUUGGUGUCAUACUCAUAUGGACAAUCCCGUAAUGACACUUUCAGAAUUUGAAAGACCUUUGUUGCUACUUUGUACAACAAGUCCACUGAGGGAGUGUUUGUAAAAACGACAUAUCAGUUUAUAUAAACUACGAUAAUACAAGGUCAUAUAAGCAGGCAUAAUUUUAAAACAUUUAACAUUUAGGUUUUCAGAAAAGUUACGUACCUAUUUCUAGCGACAUCUAUGUAUGUAGGGCCUAUAUAAAAUAAGCCAGGAAAGUUAUGAAAGUGAAUUAAAGUUCAUGUUGCACUGAUAAAAUCAUUUUAAACAAAUAUUCUAAAUAUAAUUAUUCUCAAAUUUCAGGAGCUGAUACAAGCAGCCAGAAUGAGUCUCUGCUGAGUCGCCGGCGCCGGACGUGCGUCGCGCGCCUCGGGCGACUGACGUCUUCGUGUGAGUCGCCAAUUGCAGGGGAAGAUACGAAUAGUUAGGUAUAAAAGCUACUUUAGUCAACCUCGCCUCAGUACUGUUUGUAUUGACUGAAAUACAAGUAGCAUAUAUGAGACGUUCGGACGUAUCCGAGAAAAUACGAAGGUAAAGGAAAUUGCACUACAUUUUUAGAACCUAUUCACCUGUCAGUAAAAUAUUGAAAAGGAAAGUUCAUGAGUUUUAUUAUUUUCUUUCCUCCAACAGCUUCACAUGGAGCAAAUGUAAACCUUUUAUGUUAAUAAUAUCAGUAAUGUCAAGGUACAACGCUCUUUAGAGCAUAUUGCCAUUCCUUUUACUCGAGUGGCCUGUGGGUUAACUAUACGAAGCGAGCCUACGAUGCAUUAAAAGUGCAGUAUAACAAUGCAUUCAGAAUGCUGUUGGGCUUACCUCGUAGAUGUAGUGCAUCUGGCAUGUUUUGCGAAGCUAGAAGUUUUCUGGCAAUCAUGCGCAAGAAAAUAGUAUCUCUGCUAGGUCGAGUUAGAAGCAGUCCCAAACAUACAUGUUCGAAAAGUAGAACUCCCUUAGUAGGCCAAGCAAUAAGAAGUUAUAGAGGGAAAUGCUAGGAACACAAUUUUUGACUACGUAACUUUGUUUGGACUAGUUAGGAGGUGAACAUAUCAAAAGUCCCCGGCUGUAGCCCCGGUGCUGGGGGGUAGACUAGUUAUAGUCCAAACAA